Molecule: long non-coding RNA, 1154 nt
Filed under: Callithrix jacchus (white-tufted-ear marmoset)
Lineage: Eukaryota; Metazoa; Chordata; Mammalia; Primates; Cebidae
Description: lncRNA (ENSCJAG00000073875.1)
Source: RNAcentral
AGGGGUUGCUCCCUGCACAAGGGAGGGGCCGAGAUCCUCGGGGUAUCUGGGAGGAGGCCUGGGUGGCACACACUCUGGUCACCCCGCCCCUCUGACUGGAACAGGGCUCUCCUAGUUCAGCUCUACAAGUGGCAGGUUCUGAUUUGGGACCACAGAGUUCUCGGAUACCGGAACAAGCUGCUGUUUCAAGUUGCCAUUGGCUUCUGGUUCAGCUGGUAUCACAGUAAAAGCAGAAUUCCUACAGGAAAAAGUCUGUUUCUUUUGUGGGCAAGGGACGGGGUGGAGCAGGGAGGGUCUUGCAUGGCCCCUUGGUUACUCAGCGCUGAAGCUCAGGUUAUCCUCUGCAAUGGAGAGAUGGAGGCUCUGGGGGCCGAUCCGCUCUGCCUGAGGAUGUAGAAAGCUGCUCCACCCUGACUGCAUGUCACAGUUUGUUUUGUGCUGCUCUAACAGAAUGUCUGGGACUGGGUAAUUUAUAAAGAACAGAGAUUGGUUUCUUAUAGCUCUAAGUGCUGGGAAGGCCAAGGGUGAGGGUCUUGUGACUUUUGGGGGCCUUCAUGCUGCAUCAUCCCAUGAGCAGAAGCCAGAAGGCAAGAGAGCAUGAGAGAGACAGAGAGAGGGACAGAACAGGGGAAGCUGAACUGGCUUUUACAAUGAACUCACUCCCACACUAACAUGCACAAUACCCCAGGGAUUAAUCCAUUCUCUUGAUGAGGACAUUAAUCCAUUCUGGAGGGUGACGUCUUAUAAGCUAAUCACCUCUUAAAUGUCGCGUCUCUCAACAUUGCUGCCCCGGAGCUUCGGUUUCCAACAUAUGAGCUUUGAGAGACACAUUCAAACCAAUGGACAGUGUCAUAUUGACUGGGGAGAGAGGCCAGAACAUUCCUGGUUCAACAGUGAGUUUUUCCACUUGGCCUUUCCCUGCUUUAUUCUAAGUGGAAACAAGCUUUUAAAUGUGGGACACCCAAUAUAGAAUCGAGACUACAGAAGUUGAUCCUAUGCCAACAAAUAUGCUCUGGAACACUCAAAGCUCUUGAAAAUAAAUCAGUAUUUUGCUUUUCUCCGUUGAGGUUAAACAGAGAGUACAUUUUGUUGAAAUGUCAAUAACAUCUGUGUCACAACCCAGUCAUUGACAACAAACACCACUGUGUCGUUGA